AGUGAACGCUGGCGGCAGGCCUAACACAUGCAAGUCGAACGGCAGCACAGUAAGAGCUUGCUCUUACGGGUGGCGAGUGCCGGACGGGUGAGGACUACAUCGGAAUCUACUUUUUCGCGGGGGAUAACGAAGGGAAACUUACGCUAAUACCGCAUACGACCUACGGGUGAAAGCAGGGGAUCUUCGGACCUUGCGCGAUUGAAUGAGCCGAGGUCGGAUUAGCUAGUUGGGGGGGCCAAGGCCCACCAAGGCGACGAUCCGUAGCUGGUCUGAGAGGAUGAUUGGCCACACUGGAACUGAGACACAGUCCAGACUCCUACACGAGGCAGCAGUGGGGAAUAUUGGAGGAUGGGCGCGAGCCUGAUCCAGCCAUACCGCGUGAGUGAAGAAGGCGUGCCGGUUGGAAAGCCCUUAUGUUAGGAGAGAAAAGCAGCAGGUUAAUACCCCGCUGUUCUGACGGUACCCUAAGAAUAAGCACCGGCUAACUUCGUG
This 492-nucleotide ribosomal RNA is filed under the name uncultured bacterium. RNAcentral describes it as "partial 16S ribosomal RNA". It matches the Rfam family "Bacterial small subunit ribosomal RNA", at positions 29 to 507 of the family's 1533-position model. The record is from RNAcentral.